UUAAGCGACUAAGCGUACACGGUGGAUGCCCUGGCAGUCAGAGGCGAUGAAGGACGUGCUAAUCUGCGAUAAGCGUCGGUGAGGUGAUAUGAACCGUUAUAACCGGCGAUUUCCGAAUGGGGAAACCCAGUGUGUUUCGACACACUAUCAUUAACUGAAUCCAUAGGUUAAUGAGGCGAACCGGGGGAACUGAAACAUCUAAGUACCCCGAGGAAAAGAAAUCAACCGAGAUUCCCCCAGUAGCGGCGAGCGAACGGGGAGGAGCCCAGAGCCUGAAUCAGUGUGUGUGUUAGUGGAAGCGUCUGGAAAGGCGCGCGAUACAGGGUGACAGCCCCGUACACAAAAAUGCACAUGCUGUGAGCUCGAUGAGUAGGGCGGGACACGUGGUAUCCUGUCUGAAUAUGGGGGGACCAUCCUCCAAGGCUAAAUACUCCUGACUGACCGAUAGUGAACCAGUACCGUGAGGGAAAGGCGAAAAGAACCCCGGCGAGGGGAGUGAAAAAGAACCUGAAACCGUGUACGUACAAGCAGUGGGAGCCUCUUAAUGGGGUGACUGCGUACCUUUUGUAUAAUGGGUCAGCGACUUAUAUUCUGUAGCAAGGUUAACCGAAUAGGGGAGCCGAAGGGAAACCGAGUCUUAACUGGGCGUUAAGUUGCAGGGUAUAGACCCGAAACCCGGUGAUCUAGCCAUGGGCAGGUUGAAGGUUGGGUAACACUAACUGGAGGACCGAACCGACUAAUGUUGAAAAAUUAGCGGAUGACUUGUGGCUGGGGGUGAAAGGCCAAUCAAACCGGGAGAUAGCUGGUUCUCCCCGAAAGCUAUUUAGGUAGCGCCUCGUGAAUUCAUCUCCGGGGGUAGAGCACUGUUUCGGCAAGGGGGUCAUCCCGACUUACCAACCCGAUGCAAACUGCGAAUACCGGAGAAUGUUAUCACGGGAGACACACGGCGGGUGCUAACGUCCGUCGUGAAGAGGGAAACAACCCAGACCGCCAGCUAAGGUCCCAAAGUCAUGGUUAAGUGGGAAACGAUGUGGGAAGGCCCAGACAGCCAGGAUGUUGGCUUAGAAGCAGCCAUCAUUUAAAGAAAGCGUAAUAGCUCACUGGUCGAGUCGGCCUGCGCGGAAGAUGUAACGGGGCUAAACCAUGCACCGAAGCUGCGGCAGCGACACUAUGUGUUGUUGGGUAGGGGAGCGUUCUGUAAGCCUGUGAAGGUGGCCUGUGAGGGUUGCUGGAGGUAUCAGAAGUGCGAAUGCUGACAUAAGUAACGAUAAAGCGGGUGAAAAGCCCGCUCGCCGGAAGACCAAGGGUUCCUGUCCAACGUUAAUCGGGGCAGGGUGAGUCGACCCCUAAGGCGAGGCCGAAAGGCGUAGUCGAUGGGAAACAGGUUAAUAUUCCUGUACUUGGUGUUACUGCGAAGGGGGGACGGAGAAGGCUAUGUUGGCCGGGCGACGGUUGUCCCGGUUUAAGCGUGUAGGCUGGUUUUCCAGGCAAAUCCGGAAAACCAAGGCUGAGGCGUGAUGACGAGGCACUACGGUGCUGAAGCGACAAAUGCCCUGCUUCCAGGAAAAGCCUCUAAGCAUCAGGUAACAUCAAAUCGUACCCCAAACCGACACAGGUGGUCAGGUAGAGAAUACCAAGGCGCUUGAGAGAACUCGGGUGAAGGAACUAGGCAAAAUGGUGCCGUAACUUCGGGAGAAGGCACGCUGAUAUGUAGGUGAAGCGACUUGCUCGUGGAGCUGAAAUCAGUCGAAGAUACCAGCUGGCUGCAACUGUUUAUUAAAAACACAGCACUGUGCAAACACGAAAGUGGACGUAUACGGUGUGACGCCUGCCCGGUGCCGGAAGGUUAAUUGAUGGGGUUAGCGGUAACGCGAAGCUCUUGAUCGAAGCCCCGGUAAACGGCGGCCGUAACUAUAACGGUCCUAAGGUAGCGAAAUUCCUUGUCGGGUAAGUUCCGACCUGCACGAAUGGCGUAAUGAUGGCCAGGCUGUCUCCACCCGAGACUCAGUGAAAUUGAACUCGCUGUGAAGAUGCAGUGUACCCGCGGCAAGACGGAAAGACCCCGUGAACCUUUACUAUAGCUUGACACUGAACAUUGAGCCUUGAUGUGUAGGAUAGGUGGGAGGCUUUGAAGUGUGGACGCCAGUCUGCAUGGAGCCGACCUUGAAAUACCACCCUUUAAUGUUUGAUGUUCUAACGUUGGCCCGUAAUCCGGGUUGCGGACAGUGUCUGGUGGGUAGUUUGACUGGGGCGGUCUCCUCCUAAAGAGUAACGGAGGAGCACGAAGGUUGGCUAAUCCUGGUCGGACAUCAGGAGGUUAGUGCAAUGGCAUAAGCCAGCUUGACUGCGAGCGUGACGGCGCGAGCAGGUGCGAAAGCAGGUCAUAGUGAUCCGGUGGUUCUGAAUGGAAGGGCCAUCGCUCAACGGAUAAAAGGUACUCCGGGGAUAACAGGCUGAUACCGCCCAAGAGUUCAUAUCGACGGCGGUGUUUGGCACCUCGAUGUCGGCUCAUCACAUCCUGGGGCUGAAGUAGGUCCCAAGGGUAUGGCUGUUCGCCAUUUAAAGUGGUACGCGAGCUGGGUUUAGAACGUCGUGAGACAGUUCGGUCCCUAUCUGCCGUGGGCGCUGGAGAACUGAGGGGGGCUGCUCCUAGUACGAGAGGACCGGAGUGGACGCAUCACUGGUGUUCGGGUUGUCAUGCCAAUGGCACUGCCCGGUAGCUAAAUGCGGAAGAGAUAAGUGCUGAAAGCAUCUAAGCACGAAACUUGCCCCGAGAUGAGUUCUCCCUGACUCCUUGAGAGUCCUGAAGGAACGUUGAAGACGACGACGUUGAUAGGCCGGGUGUGUAAGCGCAGCGAUGCGUUGAGCUAACCGGUACUAAUGAACCGUGAGGCUUAACCUU
RNAcentral lists this ribosomal RNA (2902 nucleotides) under Escherichia coli HVH 70 (4-2963531). RNAcentral describes it as "bacterial LSU rRNA". It matches the Rfam family "Bacterial large subunit ribosomal RNA". Lineage: Bacteria; Pseudomonadati; Pseudomonadota; Gammaproteobacteria; Enterobacterales; Enterobacteriaceae. The record is from RNAcentral.